UGGCUGUGUGCCUGAGCCCAUGCAUCCCAAGGAUCUCUGAGCAUGAGCCAGGGUGGCCCAGGGGCUCACAGGAAUUCCCCUUCUGCUCUGAGCCCACCAGAGCUGGCUAUACAAUGAUAACUUCACCCCCCUCGCCCCCCAUGGGCAGCACCUGCUCCCUGGGUCUCCCCUGGUGGCCCUAUUAUCCCGCACCUGCUGCUUCCCCACCUGCUCCCUAUUCUUAGCCCCCUCCCCAUAGCACACCCUGUUCAUCACUAGGCCCAGCUGCCUGCUCUGACAGCCAGCCAGGAAGGGGUAAUAGAACCAGGAGAGGUAGCAUGGAGGGCCCAAGGACAGAGGGUCCAGAGGCCAGUCCAGCUCUGUUUGACUAGUAGUGUGUAUGCUUACAAUGGACUCCAUCUCAGGGCCUCAGUCUCCCCACCUGUGAAGUAGGAACCGCAAGCCCUGACCUCAACUUUCUACAAAAACUUUACUGCUUGGAAGAUCUUAGGCCAUCGUGUUUCAAGAUCUGAGUUACAGAGGACAACCAGGUUGGGGAGAGGAGGGAGGUGAUGUGCCUUCGGCUGUAUUCCCAGGGCUAUGUCUGUUAGACUACAAGGAGGCCAGGGCAUUUCUCUGAUUACUGAAGAAUCCUUUGUGGGCUAUUUAAGUAAGGUGUGGACCCAGCCUGGGUGCCAGGCAACAGGUAGAUGAAUAAGGAAACUGUGAUUAUACAACAUGGAGGCUUAUCCUACCGCAAGAAUCAGUGCUGUGUGCAGGAAAAGAAAUGGGGCUGCAAAGCCUUGUGUUACAUCAAAGAAGCCAGAUGCAGAAAGACAGAAGCCACGAUCUCUCCCACGAAAGAAGUGGACCAUGAGGACAAAGAGCGGGACAAGGGAGGGUGACGCAACCUUCACGUGCAUGAAGAUGCUAAUGUUCCCAGAUGUGAGCUCUCAGCUAUUCCUGCCAUCAUGCCUGCUGCUUGCUGCUGUGAUUCCCAACUGUAACGGGGAUGGAGUCCUAUCCCCCUAGAACCAUUAGUCCAACAUAAAUCCUUCUGCACGU
This 1044-nucleotide long non-coding RNA is filed under the name Mus musculus (house mouse). RNAcentral's name for it is "predicted gene 29208". Lineage: Eukaryota; Metazoa; Chordata; Mammalia; Rodentia; Muridae. The record is from RNAcentral.